UACGUAGGGUGCAAGCGUUAUCCGGAAUUAUUGGGCGUAAAGAGCUCGUAGGCGGUUUGUCGCGUCUGCUGUGAAAACUGGAGGCUCAACCUCCAGCCUGCAGUGGGUACGGGCAGACUAGAGUGCGGUAGGGGAGAUUGGAAUUCCUGGUGUAGCGGUGGAAUGCGCAGAUAUCAGGAGGAACACCGAUGGCGAAGGCAGAUCUCUGGGCCGUAACUGACGCUGAGACGCGAAAGCGUGGGGAGCGAACAGG
This 253-nucleotide ribosomal RNA is filed under the name uncultured bacterium. RNAcentral's name for it is "partial 16S ribosomal RNA". It matches the Rfam family "Bacterial small subunit ribosomal RNA", at positions 524 to 776 of the family's 1533-position model. The record is from RNAcentral.